GAUGAACGCUGGCGGCGUGCCUAAUACAUGCAAGUCGAGCGAACAGACGAGGAGCUUGCUCCUCUGACGUUAGCGGCGGACGGGUGAGUCACACGUGGAUAACCUACCUAUCAUACUGGGAUAACUUCGGGAAUCCGGAGCUAAUACCGGAUAAUAUCUUGAACCGCAUGGUUCAAUAGUGAAAGACGGUUUUGCUGUCACUUAUAGAUGGAUCUGCGCCGCAUUAGCUAGUUGGUAAGGUAACGGCUUACCAAGGCGACUAGGCGUAGCCGACCGGAGAGGGGGAUAGGCCACACGGGAAGGGGAACACGGACCAGGCUCCUGCGGGAGGGAGCAGUAGGGAAUCGGCCGCAAUGGGCGAAAGUCUUACGGAGCAGCGGGGAGUGAGAGAUGACGGUGUUGGGUGCGUAAAACUCUGUUAUUAGGGAAGAACAGAUGUGGAAGUAACUAUGCACUUCUUGACGGUACCUGGUCAGAAAGCCACGGCUAACUACGUG
Molecule: ribosomal RNA, 497 nt
Filed under: uncultured bacterium
Lineage: Bacteria
Description: partial 16S ribosomal RNA
Rfam family: Bacterial small subunit ribosomal RNA
Source: RNAcentral